GACGAACGCUGGCGGCGUGCUUAACACAUGCAAGUCGAACGCGCCUGUCCUCUGGGUUUCUGGGGGGUGGGUGAGUGGCGAACGGGUGAGUAACACGUGAGUAACCUGCCCCCUUCUUCGGGAUAACGGUCUGAAAGGGCUGCUAAUACCGGGUAUUCACUGGUCUCCGCAUGGGGUCUGGUGGAAAGGUUUUUUUCUGGUGGGGGAUGGGCUCGCGGCCUAUCAGCUUGUUGGUGGGGUGAUGGCCCACCAAGGCUUUGACGGGUAGCCGGCCUGAGAGGGUGACCGGUCACAUUGGGACGGAGAUACGGCCCAGACUCCGACGGGAGGCAGCAGUGGGGAAUAUUGCACAAUGGGCGCAAGCCUGAUGCAGCGACGCCGCGUGAGGGAUGGAGGCCUUCGGGUUGUGAACCUCUUUCGCCCGUGGUCAAGCCGCGACGUGGGUCGUGGUGAGGGUAGUGGGUAAAGAAGCGCCGGCUAACUACGUG
This 488-nucleotide ribosomal RNA is filed under the name uncultured bacterium. RNAcentral's name for it is "partial 16S ribosomal RNA". It matches the Rfam family "Bacterial small subunit ribosomal RNA", at positions 28 to 507 of the family's 1533-position model. The record is from RNAcentral.